RNAcentral lists this ribosomal RNA (253 nucleotides) under uncultured bacterium. RNAcentral describes it as "partial 16S ribosomal RNA". It matches the Rfam family "Bacterial small subunit ribosomal RNA", at positions 524 to 776 of the family's 1533-position model. The record is from RNAcentral.
UACGAGUGGCUCAAGCGUUAUCCGGAAUUAUUGGGCGUAAAGGAUGUGUAGGUGGUUAUAUUAGUCGGGCGUUCAACCUCUGGGCUCAACCUGGAGAUCGCGUUCGAAACGGUAUGACUAGAGUAUGUUAGGGGUAAGCGGAACUCAUAGUGUAGGGGUGAAAUCCGUUGAUAUUAUGGGGAACACCAAAAGCGAAGGCAGCUUACUGGGACAUUACUGACACUGAAACAUGAAAGCGUGGGUAGCGAAUGGG